Brassica rapa (field mustard) is the source of this 1460-nucleotide RNA transcript. It is a transcript of the gene named probable transcription factor KAN3, with no coding region annotated. The record is from RefSeq and is a predicted model, not a curated record. NCBI's taxonomy places the organism in Eukaryota, Viridiplantae, Streptophyta, Magnoliopsida, Brassicales, Brassicaceae.
UCUCAAAGGGAACAGAGACGAAAGAGACUUAUCAUUCUCCUCAUACCUUUUGCCACCUCUAUCUCUCUAUUUCUCUCUCUAAGCCUUUGCAACUGAUUUUCUCCUCUCACCAAGAACAAACAUUCAUUAAGGAAGAAAAAAAACUUUCUGAAUUAAAUAAGAUUACACCCACCUCCCCUUUCCCCAAAAUUCAUCAAUAUUAUCUCUGAUUCAUUCCCAAUUCUCUCUUAUGGAGCUUUUCCCUUCACAACCUGACUUGUACUUGAAGAUAAACAGAAGAAGAGAAGAACAAGAAGAAGAAGAUUAUAAGGAACAAGAAGAAGUCCAAAGGAGAUUACUCUUUGGUAGUAAAGCCUCAGAUUCAGACAGAAAGGCUUCUGAUCAUCAUAUCCACACCCUCCAAUUCACAUCAAACAAUGAACCCACCAAGAUUGAUCAUAAUCAAGAACACAUGGAAUCUCUACAUCAAGAUUUGAGAUCGAAUUUUAUGGUGAAACCAAUAAGAGGAAUUCCUCUUCACCAAAAUCAAAUCCUUGACCACUACUACUAUUCUCCCACUCCUCCUUUUUUCUUCAGUGAAGUCAACGGUCAACACACAAACCCUAGUUAUAGUUAUAAUCUUCACCACCGUCAUCAUCGUCAAGCUCAGCCGCAGGCGCAAAGAUUAACGGCAAAACGAGGAGUAAGGGCUCCGAGGAUGCGGUGGACGACGACCCUCCAUGCCCAUUUCGUUCAUGCUGUUCAAUUAUUGGGUGGUCAUGAAAGAGCCACUCCAAAAUCAGUACUUGAGUUGAUGGAUGUUCAAGAUCUCACAUUGGCUCAUGUUAAAUCUCAUCUACAGAUGUAUCGGACCAUCAAAUCUACUGAGAAGCCUACAACAUCAUCAGAUAUAGGGCAAUCAGAUACUUGCGAGAAUGAAUUAAAACUAAACAGUGAGAGACAAGCCAGAGAUCUCCAAGGUCUGUGGAGUAACUCCUCAAGUGAAGCUCGGUUCCACUUAAAGGCAAAGGCAUCAGGUCUAGACAUGUCAUCCAAUAAGGUAUCAAACAUUCAAAACUUAAACAAAAGAGGAUUGAAAUGAAAUGGGACAGCAAAAUUCGAGGGUGAAAAGGAAAAAAAAAAAUGUGGAUCAAAGAUGUCCAAGCUACGAACGAUUGUCGUCGGAUUCGUCAAGUCUCACUGGGACAAGACCAGAGAUUGAAACUCCCAAUCUCGAGUUCACUUUAGCUAUACCAAACCUUCUUCCCUAGUUUACUAUAAAUACGACAAAAACAAAAAAAAACUGUUAAAAUAUACAAAUUUAAACUUUAAAGUUAUGCUUGCGUUAUGAAAAAAAUAUGAAAUGAUGUUUGUUUCUCCGACUAGAUAUUUGUUCUUUUUUUUCCUGUAAACUUGAGAAGCCUUUUUGUUUACGGGGUCGUUAAUUUGAGAUGCUUAUAUAGAUAUGCAGACUUCUUUUU